UAAUGGGUGAUGGCGUGCCUUUUGUAGAAUGAACCGGCGAGUUACGAUUUGAUGCAAGGUUAAGCAGUAAAUGUGGAGCCGUAGCGAAAGCGAGUCUGAAUAGGGCGUUUAGUAUUUGGUCGUAGACCCGAAACCAGGUGAUCUACCCUUGGUCAGGUUGAAGUUCAGGUAACACUGAAUGGAGGACCGAACCGACUUACGUUGAAAAGUGAGCGGAUGAACUGAGGGUAGCGGAGAAAUUCCAAUCGAACCUGGAGAUAGCUGGUUCUCUCCGAAAUAGCUUUAGGGCUAGCCUCAAGUGAUGAUUAUUGGAGGUAGAGCACUGUUUGGACGAGGGGCCCCUCUCGGGUUACCGAAUUCAGACAAACUCCGAAUGCCAAUUAAUUUAACUUGGGAGUCAGAACAUGGGUGAUAAGGUCCGUGUUCGAAAGGGAAACAGCCCAGACCACCAGCUAAGGUCCCAAAAUAUAUGUUAAGUGGAAAAGGAUGUGGCGUUGCCCAGACAACUAGGAUGUUGGCUUAGAAGCAGCCAUCAUUUAAAGAGUGCGUAAUAGCUCACUAGUCGAGUGACACUGCGCCGAAAAUGUACCGGGGCUAAACAUAUUACCGAAGCUGUGGAUUGUCCUUUGGACAAUGGUAGGAGAGCGUUCUAAGGGCGUUGAAGCAUGAUCGUAAGGACAUGUGGAGCGCUUAGAAGUGAGAAUGCCGGUGUGAGUAGCGAAAGACGGGUGAGAAUCCCGUCCACCGAUUGACUAAGGUUUCCAGAGGAAGGCUCGUCCGCUCUGGGUUAGUCGGGUCCUAAGCUGAGGCCGACAGGCGUAGGCGAUGGAUAACAGGUUGAUAUUCCUGUACCACCUAUAAUCGUUUUAAUCGAUGGGGGGACGCAGUAGGAUAGGCGAAGCGUGCGAUUGGAUUGCACGUCUAAGCAGUAAGGCUGAGUAUUAGGCAAAUCCGGUACUCGUUAAGGCUGAGCUGUGAUGGGGAGAAGACAUUAUGUCUUCGAGUCGUUGAUUUCACACUGCCGAGAAAAGCCUCUAGAUAGAAAAUAGGUGCCCGUACCGCAAACCGACACAGGUAGUCAAGAUGAGAAUUCUAAGGUGAGCGAGCGAACUCUCGUUAAGGAACUCGGCAAAAUGACCCCGUAACUUCGGGAGAAGGGGUGCUCUUUAGGGUUAACGCCCAGAAGAGCCGCAGUGAAUAGGCCCAAGCGACUGUUUAUCAAAAACACAGGUCUCUGCUAAACCGUAAGGUGAUGUAUAGGGGCUGACGCCUGCCCGGUGCUGGAAGGUUAAGAGGAGUGGUUAGCUUCUGCGAAGCUACGAAUCGAAGCCCCAGUAAACGGCGGCCGUAACUAUAACGGUCCUAAGGUAGCGAAAUUCCUUGUCGGGUAAGUUCCGACCCGCACGAAAGGCGUAACGAUUUGGGCACUGUCUCAACGAGAGACUCGGUGAAAUCAUAGUACCUGUGAAGAUGCAGGUUACCCGCGACAGGACGGAAAGACCCCGUGGAGCUUUACUGUAGCCUGAUAUUGAAAUUCGGCACAGCUUGUACAGGAUAGGUAGGAGCCUUUGAAACGUGAGCGCUAGCUUACGUGGAGGCGCUGGUGGGAUACUACCCUAGCUGUGUUGGCUUUCUAACCCGCACCACUUAUCGUGGUGGGAGACAGUGUCAGGCGGGCAGUUUGACUGGGGCGGUCGCCUCCUAAAAGGUAACGGAGGCGCUCAAAGGUUCCCUCAGAAUGGUUGGAAAUCAUUCAUAGAGUGUAAAGGCAUAAGGGAGCUUGACUGCGAGACCUACAAGUCGAGCAGGGUCGAAAGACGGACUUAGUGAUCCGGUGGUUCCGCAUGGAAGGGCCAUCGCUCAACGGAUAAAAGCUACCCCGGGGAUAACAGGCUUAUCUCCCCCAAGAGUUCACAUCGACGGGGAGGUUUGGCACCUCGAUGUCGGCUCAUCGCAUCCUGGGGCUGUAGUCGGUCCCAAGGGUUGGGCUGUUCGCCCAUUAAAGCGGUACGCGAGCUGGGUUCAGAACGUCGUGAGACAGUUCGGUCCCUAUCCGUCGUGGGCGUAGGAAAUUUGAGAGGAGCUGUCCUUAGUACGAGAGGACCGGGAUGGACAUACCUCUGGUGUACCAGUUGUCGUGCCAACGGCAUAGCUGGGUAGCUAUGUGUGGACGGGAUAAGUGCUGAAAGCAUCUAAGCAUGAAGCCCCCCUCAAGAUGAGAUUUCCCAACUUCGGUUAUAAGAUCCCU
This 2248-nucleotide ribosomal RNA is filed under the name Staphylococcus aureus. Its description in RNAcentral is "partial 23S ribosomal RNA". It matches the Rfam family "Bacterial large subunit ribosomal RNA", at positions 587 to 2838 of the family's 2925-position model. The record is from RNAcentral. Lineage: Bacteria; Bacillati; Bacillota; Bacilli; Caryophanales; Staphylococcaceae.